GUGCUUGCUUUGAUAGCCCAUAGACUAAACUUGGAAUGAUACAGAGAAGAUUAGCAUGGCUGCCGCGCAAGGAUGACGAGCAAACUUAUGAGGCGUUCCGUGUUUAA
This is a small nuclear RNA of Onychomys torridus (southern grasshopper mouse), 107 nucleotides long. NCBI's taxonomy places the organism in Eukaryota, Metazoa, Chordata, Mammalia, Rodentia, Cricetidae. The record is from RefSeq and is a predicted model, not a curated record.